AAAUUGAAGAGUUUGAUCAUGGCUCAGAUUGAACGCUGGCGGCAGGCCUAACACAUGCAAGUCGAACGGUAACAGGAAACAGCUUGCUGUUUCGAUGACGAGUGGCGGACGGGUGAGUAAUGUCUGGGAAACUGCCUGAUGGAGGGGGAUAACUACUGGAAACGGUAGCUAAUACCGCAUAACGUCGCAAGACCAAAGAGGGGGACCUUCGGGCCUCUUGCCAUCGGAUGUGCCCAGAUGGGAUUAGCUAGUAGGUGGGGUAACGGCUCACCUAGGCGACGAUCCCUAGCUGGUCUGAGAGGAUGACCAGCCACACUGGAACUGAGACACGGUCCAGACUCCUACGGGAGGCAGCAGUGGGGAAUAUUGCACAAUGGGCGCAAGCCUGAUGCAGCCAUGCCGCGUGUAUGAAGAAGGCCUUCGGGUUGUAAAGUACUUUCAGCGGGGAGGAAGGGAGUAAAGUUAAUACCUUUGCUCAUUGACGUUACCCGCAGAAGAAGCACCGGCUAACUCCGUGCCAGCAGCCGCGGUAAUACGGAG
Molecule: ribosomal RNA, 540 nt
Filed under: Shigella flexneri
Lineage: Bacteria; Pseudomonadati; Pseudomonadota; Gammaproteobacteria; Enterobacterales; Enterobacteriaceae
Description: bacterial SSU rRNA
Rfam family: Bacterial small subunit ribosomal RNA
Source: RNAcentral